GUUGGGAAAGGAACUUGGGUCCUCUGCAAACCCAGUACACACACUUAACCUCUGAGUCAUCUUUUUAGCCCCACAAUUUUAGAUCGUAUCUUAUUCUUAGAAUCAUCAUCAUUUAUGUUGUCAGUAAAAAACGGCAACCCUUGAAUCUUUGCAGCACUCUUCUGUUCCUUCUCCCGGUGCCUUUAUGUUUUCUUUGUCUCCUUUGCUUGCUUUUCAGGUGAAGCCAACCUUGUUUUGGUUCGCUCUGCAGUCUGCAGCCACUUGGAAAUCAUCAGCUGGGAGAAGGGAAUUCUGGGAGCUCUGGCGCUAGGACAGCUUCUCCGGAAAGGAUUAAGUGCGAUCUUGCUCUGAGGCAGUGAGGAUUCUCAGACUAUGAGUACUUUGGGCUGAGGACUGCUACUAUAGAGUCUGGAAGUUUAAAGAAUACCAAAUCACAAAACACCCGAAACGGUUACACCUUACACCUAGGCACAUCUUCAGUCAGCUGAAGAGAACUGGAGACUAGCGAAAGUCCUGAGGAACAGAACACAUGUGGAAACUGCGUCACAGAGUAUAGCUUGAGAAGAGAACAGAGACAGACAGUUACCAUACAGGGGCAAACUGACUCUGUUAGCCUUGAGCGUGUGCCUGAAAAUUUAUCAUCCCUUUAAAGUCAAGGAGAAUAAGGACUUUCUACAGCAAAUGAAAGUACUGUGCAUGGAACUUCCCUGAGGGGAUGUUCAGAGAGGCCUAGGAGCAAAGGUGCUGGUCAGAACUGUGGGUGGUGUGGAGAGGUCAGAGAUCAUGAAAGUCAGCUCACAUCCUGGACUUUUAAAUCUGAAAAGAACCUGAGACAACUUUAUUUAAAGCGAUGACAGCAAAUGCAUUAGGUACUAAUGCCAUGAAGAAAGUGCUUCAUAGUGGGCAUGAGGGGGUCACUGAAAAUGACUUUCUCUCCCUCACUUUCUCUUAAAUUAAUGACCCCUUUUCCUUUAAAUAUAUACAUAUUGAUAUAUAUUUAUAUGAUAUAUGAUAGACAAUAUAUGAUAUAUGAUAUGUGUAUAAGAUAUAAUUUAUAAUCUAUAGUAUAAUACAUUAUAUAGUAUUAUAUGUAAUAUAUAAUUAUAUACAAUAUAUAUUAUAUAAUAUAGAGUAGAUAUAACAUGCAAUAUAGAAAUAUGUAGCAUUUAAUAUAUAAUAUAUUAAUGAAUAUAUAUUUAUUUUAAUUAUAGUUUAUUGUAAUCAAAGUGUAUAAUUAUAUAUUUAUAUGAUAUAAAUUAUUAAAUAUAUAAUUAAAUAUAAAUUAUAUAACUACCAUAAUUAUAUGUAUUAUAAAUUGUAAUUAUAUAAUUAAAUAUGAAUUGUAAAUAGCAAUUAAAUAUAAAUAAUUAAAAAUAUAUUAUGUUGUAUAAAUAUAUUAUAUGUAUUAUAUAAUAAACAUAAAUAAAUAUAGAAUCCUAUAAAUAAAAAUAUGUGUA
Rattus norvegicus (Norway rat) is the source of this 1457-nucleotide non-coding RNA. The record is from RefSeq and is a predicted model, not a curated record. NCBI's taxonomy places the organism in Eukaryota, Metazoa, Chordata, Mammalia, Rodentia, Muridae.